CAAGCCUGGGCAAUGGCGGGCGCCCCUCCCCCAGCCUCGCUGCCGCCUUGCAGUUUGAUCUCAGACUGCUGUGCUAGCAAUCAGCGAGACUCCCUGGGCAUAGGACCCUACGAGCCAGGUGCGGGAUAUAAUCUCGUGUUGCACCGUUUUUUAAGCCUGUCGGAAAAGCGCAGUAUUCUGGUGGGAGUGACCCGAUUUUCCAGGUGCCGUCCAUCACUCCUUUCUUUGACUCAGAAAGGGAACUCCCUGACCCCUUGCGCUUCCCAAGUGAGGCAAUGCCUCGCCCUGCUUCGGCUCGCGCACGGUGCACGCACCCACUGACCUGCGCCCACUGUCUGGCACUCCCUAGUGAGAUGAACCCGGUACCUCAGAUGGAAAUGCAGAAAUCACCCGUCUUCUGCGUCGCUCACGCUGGGAGCUGUAGACCGGAGCUGUUCCUAUUCGGCCAUCUUGGCUCCUCCCUCUGAAGAGUCCAACAGAAAAUUUUAAGUACCUGUUUAAAGCAAUUUACAAGAUACUGUGGAGAUUCCCAGCAAUAAAGAAUGUACUAUAGUUAAGCUGGAAUCCAACUCCUGAAUUUCUGGAGCCCUGAAGACCACUUAGUCUUACUCACAAGAAUUGAAUGGAAUGUGAAUCUACACUCAGGUGAAGCCAGGGUAUUUUGAACGUCCCUACAAGACUGAAGCACCACUGGGAAAUAAGUAAUAGAGAUGCCAUCAUUGUGGAGGUCAUAAUGCUUGUCCUGAACACGAGGGGUCUCUAGUGAGGCACCAAUUCAGCUCCUCUUCUGUGGAGAGACUACAUGGGUGCUGAAGAAACAAAGACACAACGCAGCUCCUCUCAAAGGAGUUCAGAGCUUAGCAGGGGAGACAGAACCAUGAAUGCAUAGUUACGCAUCAAUGUGCUGCACGAGCACUGAAGCCCAAGCACAAGCGGCCUGAGUCCCAAGAUGGGGUCUUGCUACAUUGCCUAAGCUGGUCUUGAACUCCUGGACUCAAGCAAUCCUCCUGUCUUGACCUCCCAAACUGUUAGGAUUACAGGCGUGAGCCACUGUGCAUGGCCCAUUCACAGAUUACAUUAUAAGAAGCAGAAGAAGACUAGUGAGAUAUGAAGUGACGUGUAACUCACUCACUAACUCUACCAUGUGGAAGUCAAAUGCUUUGUGUUCACUUCAAGGGAAAGUAUAAAAUUGUGGAUUAAAUAACUUAAUGAAAUAUAUAUGUAUAUGCCUGUGUGUGUGUGGGUUUGUGUGUAUGCAUAUAUUAGUGGGAAAGAUGGAAAUGAAAAUCAGUAUUUCUUAGUCUCUUACUUUAAUUGUUAGGUCAUGC
This 1328-nucleotide long non-coding RNA is filed under the name Homo sapiens (human). Its description in RNAcentral is "HSALNT0251534". The record is from RNAcentral. Lineage: Eukaryota; Metazoa; Chordata; Mammalia; Primates; Hominidae.